RNAcentral lists this ribosomal RNA (467 nucleotides) under uncultured bacterium. RNAcentral's name for it is "partial 16S ribosomal RNA". It matches the Rfam family "Bacterial small subunit ribosomal RNA", at positions 28 to 507 of the family's 1533-position model. The record is from RNAcentral.
GACGAACGCUGGCGGCGCGCUUAACACAUGCAAGUCGAACGGAAAGGCCUCUUUCGGGGGGUACUCGAGUGGCGAACGGGUGAGUAACACGUGAGUAACCUGCCCUUGACUUUGGGAUAACUUCAGGAAACUGGGGCUAAUACCGGAUAGGAGCUCCUGCUGCAUGGUGGGGGUUGGAAAGUUUCGGCGGUUGGGGAUGGACUCGCGGCUUAUCAGCUUGUUGGUGGGGUAGUGGCUUACCAAGGCUUUGACGGGUAGCCGGCCUGAGAGGGUGACCGGCCACAUUGGGACUGAGAUACGGCCCAGACUCCUACGGGAGGCAGCAGUGGGGAAUAUUGCACAAUGGGUGGAAGCCUGAUGCAGCAGCGCCGUGUGCGGGAUGACGGCCUUCGGGUUGUAAACCGCUUUCGCUCAUGACGAAGCUUUGUGUGACGGUAGUGGGUAAAGAAGCACCGGCUAACUACGUG